Molecule: ribosomal RNA, 428 nt
Filed under: Centropomus mexicanus
Lineage: Eukaryota; Metazoa; Chordata; Actinopteri; Centropomidae
Description: partial 16S ribosomal RNA
Rfam family: Bacterial large subunit ribosomal RNA
Source: RNAcentral
UUUUAAAUGAAGACCUGUAUGAAUGGCUAGACGAGGGCUUAACUGUCUCCUUUUUCAAGUCAAUGAAAUUGAUCUCCCCGUGCAAAAGCGGGGAUAUGCCCAUAAGACGAGAAGACCCUAUGGAGCUUUAGAUGCCACAGCAAGCAUAGCUGCUACAUCCAAAUAAAGAUGUACCACUAGCUUCUGCCUCAACAUCUUCGGUUGGGGUGACCAUGGGGAACGAAAAACCCCCACGUCUCUGUACUGGAGUCUCUAUAACCUAACAAACUCUUUCAAACAAGAGCCGCCGCUCUACUUAACAGAAUUUCUGACCAUUGAUCCGGCAAUGCCGAUUAACGAACCCAGUUACCCUAGGGAUAACAGCGCAAUCCCCUUCCAGAGUCCAUAUCGAUAAGGGGGCUUACGACCUCGAUGUUGGAUCAGGACAU